Molecule: ribosomal RNA, 874 nt
Filed under: Phyllocoptes sp. GD109
Lineage: Eukaryota; Metazoa; Arthropoda; Arachnida; Trombidiformes; Eriophyidae
Description: partial large subunit ribosomal RNA
Rfam family: Eukaryotic large subunit ribosomal RNA
Source: RNAcentral
AAAUAGUACUUUGCAGAGAGAGUUAACAGGGCGUGAAACCGUUAAUUGGCAAACGAAUCGGAGCCACGAAGUCGUUUCGUUGAUAAGUUGGGUCGAGUUCAGUUUAAUACAGUGUGUAUUGGGCGUAUUCUCGGUUCGACCAUCUUUGUAAGCGUACACUGCAACCAGUUAGACGAUUGGCUAUGGGCCCAGUUGUUACUUUGAUUAGUAGUAGCGCGGUAUCUUUCGGGGUAUUCGUGUUGCUGGAUUAGAGUAAGUGAACUAUAGCCAAAUACUGACUGGCACACUGAAAAUCGCCUCUGUGCGUUUUAUAAAAUGCAAUCUGUUGCAUUGGGGUCUACACAAUUGACCAUAGGGUCUAAGCUCAGCAUUUUUGAAUUUGGACUUUCUUGCUACCAGUGGGGUCAAACUCCUGGUGCUUGUUUAGUUCCCAUCUAAUCGGGUGUUGACUUGGCUUUAUGUUGUUUGGUUGUGAAACGAUUGGGCUUCAAUGUAAACGGGUUUGCUAUUAGAUUGGCAGUGAGUAGGUCGGCUUUCCGAACGACCCGUCUUGAAACACGGACCAAGGAGUCUAAUUAGGCAUCGAGUCGAUCGGUCUUGAAUAGGCCAGACUUGUUGGAUUUAUCCAACUGAAGGCGAAGAGACAUGUGAUCGUUGGAACAAUACCAGUUCUAACGCGCAACAUGUGCCUGUUCGUAUAGCAAUGUAGCAAUAAUGCUGGGCGGAGCAAAGAGAUGCUUGAUUGGUACCCGAAAGAUGGUGAUGCUUGGGCAAAUUGAAGCCAGAGGAAACUCUGGUGGAGGAUUGUAGCGAUUCUGACGUGCAAAUCGAUCGUCAGACCUGAGUAUAGGGGCGAAAGACUAAUCGAACCAUC